UACAGAGGUCCCAAGCGUUGUUCGGAUUCACUGGGCGUAAAGGGUGCGUAGGUGGCGAGGUAAGUCGGAUGUGAAAUCUCGGAGCUUAACUCCGAAAUGGCAUUGGAUACUAUCUUGCUCGAGGGUUGGAGGGGGGACUGGAAUACUUGGUGCAGCAGUGAAAUGCGUAGAUAUCAAGUGGAACACCAGUGGCGAAGGCGAGUCCCUGGACAACUCCUGACACUGAGGCACGAAAGCUAGGGGAG
Molecule: ribosomal RNA, 245 nt
Filed under: uncultured bacterium
Lineage: Bacteria
Description: partial 16S ribosomal RNA
Rfam family: Bacterial small subunit ribosomal RNA
Source: RNAcentral